GACGAACGCUGGCGGCGUGCUUAACACAUGCAAGUCGAGCGGUAAGGCCCUUUCGGGGGUACACGAGCGGCGAACGGGUGAGUAACACGUGGGUGACCUGCCCUCAGCUCUGGGAUAAGCCUGGGAAACCGGGUCUAAUACCGGAUAUGACUCCAUGACGCAUGUUGUGGGGUGGAAAGCCUUGUGCGGCUGAGGAUGGGGCCCGCGGCCUAUCAGCUUGUUGGUGGGGUNAUGGCCUACCAAGGCGACGACGGGUAGCCGGCCUGAGAGGGCGACCGGCCACACUGGGACUGAGACACGGCCCAGACUCCUACGGGAGCAGCGAGUGGGGAAUCUUGCGCAAUGGGCGAAAGCCUGACGCAGCGACGCCGCGUGA
Molecule: ribosomal RNA, 376 nt
Filed under: uncultured bacterium
Lineage: Bacteria
Description: bacterial SSU rRNA
Rfam family: Bacterial small subunit ribosomal RNA
Source: RNAcentral